This 343-nucleotide ribosomal RNA is filed under the name Dermacentor andersoni. RNAcentral's name for it is "partial 16S ribosomal RNA". The stretch from base 220 to 343 matches the Rfam family "Bacterial large subunit ribosomal RNA", at positions 2473 to 2597 of the family's 2925-position model. Lineage: Eukaryota; Metazoa; Arthropoda; Arachnida; Ixodida; Ixodidae. The record is from RNAcentral.
UUCAGGGAAAAACUGUUUUAAACUUAAAAAUUAAAUUUAUUUUAAUUUGUGAAGAAACAAUUAUUUAAAUUAAGGACAAGAAGACCCUAAGAAUUUUAAAAAUAAUAAUUUUAAUAUUAAAAUUAUUAUUUUUUGGUUGGGGCAACUAAAAAAGAUUAUAAACUUUUUAUUUAAUAAAAUGAUCCAUUAUUAAUGAUAAUUUGAUAAAAAUACUCUAGGGAUAACAGCGUAAUAAUUUUUGAUAGAACAUAUAGACGAAAUAGUUUGCGACCUCGAUGUUGGAUCAGGAUACUUUUUUAAUGAAGAUGUUAAAAAAAGAAGUUUGUUCAACUUUUAAAGUCCU